AUGGGGUUUAGUGCAUAUCAAAAGAUAUUGGCGGCAAUGCGGGUACUCGCUUAUGGCAUACCCGCGGAUUAUACCGACGAGUAUCUUCGCAUUGGGCAAGAUACAACCACGGAGUCAGUCCGUAGGUUUGCCAAGUUGGUCAUCCGGUUGUACGGUGAGCAGUAUCUUCGGGCACCAAACGAGGAAGAUACAAAGAGAUUAAUGGAAAUGAAUGAAAAAAGGGGAUGGCCGGGGAUGCUAGGUAGUCUUGAUUGCAUGCACUGGAGGUGGAAAAAUUGCCCAAAGGCAUGGCACGGAAUGUAUUGCGGUAAAAGCCGUGAUGCUACCAUUGUGCUUGAGGCCGUAGCAUCUCAGGACACAUGGAUUUGGCAUGCAUUCUUUGGGUUGCCGGGAACACUCAAUGAUAUCAAUAUCCUUAAUAGAUCUCCUUUGUUCAAAAUAUUAAUUUCUGGGGAUACUCCAGCUUGCAACUACAAAAUCAUGGACAAUGAGUACUCAAUGGGAUACUAUCUCACCGAUGGCAUCUAUCCCGAAUGGGCAACUCUUGUGAAGUCCAUCAAGGAGAAAAAUGGGGUGCCCUUAACUAGAAAAGAGGCUCAUUUCACCAAGGCAUAA
This 615-nucleotide ribosomal RNA is filed under the name Triticum aestivum (bread wheat). RNAcentral's name for it is "partial small subunit ribosomal RNA". Lineage: Eukaryota; Viridiplantae; Streptophyta; Magnoliopsida; Poales; Poaceae. The record is from RNAcentral.